Molecule: small nuclear RNA, 133 nt
Filed under: Olea europaea subsp. europaea
Lineage: Eukaryota; Viridiplantae; Streptophyta; Magnoliopsida; Lamiales; Oleaceae
Description: U4 spliceosomal RNA
Rfam family: U4 spliceosomal RNA
About the family: U4 small nuclear RNA (U4 snRNA) is a component of the major U2-dependent spliceosome. The structure of U4 snRNA from yeast and human has been reported.
Source: Rfam by way of RNAcentral
AUCUUUCUGGGCCAUGACACAGCUAGUAAGGUUCUAGUCGAGACGCGUCUAUUGCUAGUUGAAAACUAAUUCCGAACCCACUCUUCGGCUUUGGUUCGCCUCUAGCCAUUGAGAAUAAAACACAUAUAAAUGA